This 471-nucleotide ribosomal RNA is filed under the name uncultured bacterium. RNAcentral describes it as "bacterial SSU rRNA". It matches the Rfam family "Bacterial small subunit ribosomal RNA", at positions 335 to 798 of the family's 1533-position model. The record is from RNAcentral.
ACUCCUACGGGAGGCAGCAGUGGGGAAUAUUGCACAAUGGGCGCAAGCCUGAUGCAGCCAUGCCGCGUGUAUGAAGAAGGCCUUCGGGUUGUAAAGUACUUUUCAGCAGUGAGGAAGGUGGAUAUGUUAAUAGCAUAUUCAUUUGACGUUAGCUGCAGAAGAAGCACCGGCUAACUCCGUGCCAGCAGCCGCGGUAAUACGGAGGGUGCGAGCGUUAAUCGGAAUUACUGGGCGUAAAGCGCAUGCAGGUGGUUUGUUAAGUCAGAUGUGAAAGCCCGGGGCUCAACCUCGGAAUUGCAUUUGAAACUGGCAAACUAGAGUACUGUAGAGGGGGGUAGAAUUUCAGGUGUAGCGGUGAAAUGCGUAGAGAUCUGAAGGAUACCGGUGGCGAAGGCGGCCCCCUGGACAGAUACUGACACUCAGAUGCGAAAGCGUGGGGAGCAAACAGGAUUAGAUACCCUGGUAGGCUCU